Molecule: ribosomal RNA, 996 nt
Filed under: Nomimoscolex matogrossensis
Lineage: Eukaryota; Metazoa; Platyhelminthes; Cestoda; Proteocephalidea; Monticelliidae
Description: eukaryotic LSU rRNA
Rfam family: Eukaryotic large subunit ribosomal RNA
Source: RNAcentral
AGGAUUCCCCUAGUAACGGCGAGUGAAGAGGGAAAAGCCCAGCACCGAAGCCUGCGGCAGAUUUGCUGUUAGGCAAUGUGGUGUUUGGGUCGGCUUGAGGGACCACCACUCCACUCGAAGUCCAGCAUUGAGUAUGGUUACUGGAUUUGGCCCAGAGAGGGUGAAAGGCCCGUACGGUGGAGUAUCAGACAUGUGAGGUGGUUCACUAGGUCGGCCUUAGAGUCGGGUUGUUUGGGAAUGCAGCCCAAAGUGGGUGGUAAACUCCAUCCAAGGCUAAAUACAAGCACGAGUCCGAUAGCGAACAAGUACCGUGAGGGAAAGUUGAAAAGUACUCUGAAGAGAGAGUAAACAGUACGUGAAACCGCAUGCAGGUAAACGGGUGGCGUCAAGCUGCAAGCCCGGAGAAUUCAGUCGGCUAGGUUGUUGUGUAUGCGCCUGGCGCAUCCAUCAGUCAGAGUAUGAUUGGGUAGUCCACUAGUAAACAGUGGGCCUGUCCGCAAGGGCAGGAUAUGUGUACCGGGUGGGUGCCGGAGCAUGCUAUCCGUCUGAGGACUGUCUAGCCGGUGCACUUUCUCCGUGGUUAACACCACGACCGGUGGUAUUGCCAGUCUACUGUGUCCAAGUCGUAUUUGGUAGGUCCUUGUGGCCAACCGAGUGCGAUCACAGGCAAACUCAGUAAACGGCGUGAGGGUGUUUCGGCACUUUCAUGUGUUAUCGGCUACUGGUUGUCAACGGGCCUGCUCAGUGUUUGUUGUAACCGACACAGGGUGGUCCGGUGGGGCAUGGUGGUAAGAAUAACUGUGCAAGGCACUGGGGUUAUCGGCCUCAAAUGCGCCCUGCGUCCACGUUACAAGUGUGUAGGUACUUUGUCGCUGCUGCCUGCUCGGUGCUGGGUGUGAUUGGCGUGUUGCCUGCGAAAAGUAGGCCCGCUAAUGGCUCGGUUCGAGGUGGGUAGUUGGCGGCGUUGUUGACGGCGUGGGGCGUGGUGGGCCUAAU